CAUGCCCGAAAUCUCAGCUACUUGGGAGGCUGAGGCAUGAGAAUCACUUGAACUCAGAAGAAGGUGGAGACUGCAGAGAGCCAAGAUUCCACCGCUGCACUCCAGACUGGCAACACAGCAAGACUGUCGUCCUGCCCCCCUGGAAAAAGACAACUCAAUCAGGGACAGCUACCUGCUCAAUAAUCGUCUUGGAAGGACCAGAAAGUGUGUCCUAUGUGUGGAACUUGGCCAUUGCUCAUCAGAGGCAGUCAGUGUUCUCUCAUGUGUUUGCAUCCAGUUUACCACAUUCUCUCCUCAGCCGUAGAAGUAUAUUUCUCUUCAUUUUUUACAGUGAACAGGAUCUCCUCUCAUGUCACAAACCUCUAAUUUAGUUUACAUCUGUCUCUUCAGCUGAUUAUGAACAGUGGUAGAGCUCCUCCGCGGCCUUUGGAAGCUUCAUUUCAGGUGUGAGGAUACAUUCCAUCAAAUGAAGAUGAUAACAGUCAGUGUUUUUAUUCCAGUUCUGUUUUCUUCAGUGCAGGCAUUGUUAUGCUUUUUAUAGAUUGUUACUUUCUACCAGGGAGAGCCGAAAACUGAUAAGAAAUUCAGAGAAGAAUGUAUUAAAACUUGGCGGUGUUCUCCAAUUUGAUUCAAAUUUCAGCAUAUGUGCCAAAUGCUUUCUACGUUUUGUAGUUUGGGAUAUGGCCAUUUACAGAUUCUGAUGAUCACCUUAUUUCUUAUAUUUGUUUUGAGUUCCUGCU
Saimiri boliviensis boliviensis (Bolivian squirrel monkey) is the source of this 740-nucleotide long non-coding RNA. The record is from Ensembl. NCBI's taxonomy places the organism in Eukaryota, Metazoa, Chordata, Mammalia, Primates, Cebidae.